Molecule: unclassified non-coding RNA, 340 nt
Filed under: soil metagenome
Description: partial contains 5.8S ribosomal RNA, internal transcribed spacer 2, and large subunit ribosomal RNA
Rfam family: 5.8S ribosomal RNA (bases 1-121)
Source: RNAcentral
GAUGAAGAACGUAGCGAAAUGCGAUAAGUAAUGCGAAUUGCAGAAUUUCCGUGAGUCAUCGAAUCUUUGAACGCACAUUGCGCCCCUUGGUAUUCCAUGGGGCAUGCCUGUUCGAGCGUCAUUUGUAUCCUCAAGCUUUGCUUGGUGUUGGGUGCUUGUCAGAUCCUCCGCGAUCCGACUCACCUUAAAUAUAUUGGCAGCCGGCGUAUUGGCAUAUGAGCGCAGCACAUUUUGCGAUCAUAUCCUCUACUCUAGCCCCCAAGAAGCCUUAUUUUUUCACUUUUGACCUCGGAUCAGGUAGGGAUACCCGCUGAACUUAAGCAUAUCAAUAAGCGGAGGA